CUUUCCCAGAUUGAGCAUCAGCAAUCAGGCAAUCUGCACUAUCCCCUAGAACAGCAAGCAACUUACCAUCUGGACUAACAGAUGUGUUCUGCAAAACACAGUUGGACUUUUGCUUCAUGAGGGAGGGAGGGAGCGGGAGAGUAGGGGAAGUGAGUGC
Telopea speciosissima is the source of this 157-nucleotide long non-coding RNA. RefSeq lists it as uncharacterized. Lineage: Eukaryota; Viridiplantae; Streptophyta; Magnoliopsida; Proteales; Proteaceae. The transcript is spliced from 3 exons. The record is from RefSeq and is a predicted model, not a curated record.